GGAGUGAUACUCAAGAGGCUGAAGAGGACGGUUUGCUAAAUCGUUAGAGGUCGCAAGGCCUGCGAGAGUUCGAAUCUCUCUCACUCCGCCA
RNAcentral lists this transfer RNA (91 nucleotides) under Megasphaera massiliensis. RNAcentral describes it as "tRNA-Ser". It matches the Rfam family "tRNA". Rfam says of the family: Transfer RNA (tRNA) molecules are approximately 80 nucleotides in length. Their secondary structure includes four short double-helical elements and three loops (D, anti-codon, and T loops). Lineage: Bacteria; Bacillati; Bacillota; Negativicutes; Veillonellales; Veillonellaceae. The record is from RNAcentral. RNAcentral also lists the same sequence under 13 other names.